UAGUAAUGAUGAUGGUAGUUAUAGCAGUUUCGUGAUGGUGGUGGGGGUAGAAGUAGUCAUGAUGAUAGUAGUGAUAGCAGUUUAUUAGUGAUGGUGGUGGUAGUAGUAGUAGUAAUGAUCAUGGUAGUGAUAGCAGUUUAGUGAUGGUGGUGGUAGUAGUAGUAACGAUGAUUGUAGUGAUUGCAGUUUAGUGAUGGUGGUGUUAAUAGUACUAAUGAUGAUGGUAGUGAUUGCAGUUUAGUGAUGGUGGUGGUAGUAGUAGUAAUGAUCAUGGAGGUGAUAGCAGUUUAGUGAUGGUGGUGGUGGUAGUAGUAAUGAUGAUGGUAUUGUUAACAGUUUAGUGAUGGUGGUAGUAGUAGUAAUGAUGAUGGUAGUGAUAACAGUUUAGUGAUGGUGGUGGUGGUAGUAGUAAUGAUGAUGGUAUUGUUAACAGUUUAGUGAUGGUGGUAGUAGUAGUAAUGAUGAUGGUAGUGAUAACAGUUUAGUGAUGGUGGUGGUGGUAGUAGUAGUAAUGAUGAUGGUAGUUAUAGCAGUUUAGUGAUGGUGGUGGUAGUAGUAGUAAUGAUGAUGGUAGUGAUAGCAAUUUAGUGACGGAGGUGGUAGAAGUAGUAAUGAUGAUGGUAGUGAUAGUAGUUUAGUGAUGGUGGAGGUAGUAUUAGUAAUGAUGAUGGUAGUGAUAGUAGUUAUAGGAUGGUGGUGGAAGACGUAGGAA
This 712-nucleotide long non-coding RNA is filed under the name Salmo salar (Atlantic salmon). RNAcentral's name for it is "lncRNA (ENSSSAG00000087416.1, ENSSSAG00000112126.1)". Lineage: Eukaryota; Metazoa; Chordata; Actinopteri; Salmoniformes; Salmonidae. The record is from RNAcentral.